This 253-nucleotide ribosomal RNA is filed under the name uncultured bacterium. RNAcentral's name for it is "partial 16S ribosomal RNA". It matches the Rfam family "Bacterial small subunit ribosomal RNA", at positions 524 to 776 of the family's 1533-position model. The record is from RNAcentral.
GACGAACCGAGCGAACGUUGUUCGGAAUCACUGGGCUUAAAGGGCGCGUAGGCGGGUGCUCAAGUCCGGGGUGAAAUCCUCCAGCUCAACUGGAGAACUGCCUCGGAUACUGGGUGCCUCGAGGGUGAUAGGGGUAUGCGGAACUAUCGGUGGAGCGGUGAAAUGCGUUGAUAUCGAUAGGAACUCCGGUGGCGAAGGCGGCAUACUGGAUCACAUCUGACGCUGAGGCGCGAAAGCCAGGGGAGCAAACGGG